This 467-nucleotide ribosomal RNA is filed under the name uncultured bacterium. RNAcentral describes it as "bacterial SSU rRNA". It matches the Rfam family "Bacterial small subunit ribosomal RNA", at positions 29 to 506 of the family's 1533-position model. The record is from RNAcentral.
ACGAACGCUGGCGGCGUGCUUAACACAUGCAAGUCGAGGGCUCCCAGCAAUGGGGGACCGGCGAACGGGUGCGUAACACGUGAGCGACCUGCCGAUCUGCGGGGGAUAGCCGGCCCAACGGCCGGGUAAUACCGCAUACGUUCAUCAGGCGGCAUCGUCUGGUGAGGAAACUUCAGGGGCAAAUCGAUGCGCUCGCGGCCUAUCAGCUAGUUGGCGAGGUAACGGCUCACCAAGGCUAUGACGGGUAGCUGGUCUGAGAGGAUGGCCAGCCACAUUGGGACUGCGACACGGCCCAGACUCCUACGGGAGGCAGCAGUGGGGAAUAUUGCGCAAUGGACGAAAGUCUGACGCAGCGACGCCGCGUGUGGGAUGAAGCCUUUCGGGGUGUAAACCACUGUUGCCCGGGACGAAACUCCUUUUUCGAGAGGAUUGACGGUACCGGGUGAGGAAGCACCGGCUAACUCUGU